Long non-coding RNA from Mytilus trossulus (common blue mussel), 857 nucleotides. RefSeq lists it as uncharacterized. Lineage: Eukaryota; Metazoa; Mollusca; Bivalvia; Mytilida; Mytilidae. The record is from RefSeq and is a predicted model, not a curated record. The transcript is spliced from 3 exons.
UAUUGAGUAGUUUUAAGUUAUGCAUCAGUGGUUAUAUUUAUUGUAAGACUUUGUCAUGGCUCAGUGAGUUCUGAUAUAUUGGUUAUACAUGUAACUCUCUAGGUUUUACUAAUUUGUGUUAUGAAAACUCUGUUCUGUAUGAUAAUUGGUUAAUUAAGUCAUAUGUCCAUUUUUUGGAGGGAAAUUCUAUUGUUUGGUUAGAAUAGGAUUUAUUUUGAACUGAGAGAAAGUGUUAUGCUGUUAUAGUAUUCAUAAUUUGGUGGACACCUUCAUUUAAUUUUGAUAAAAACAUCAGGAUUAGAAAGCUGAUGUUUUAAUGAUCUGGUGAUCUGGUGUCGGUGAUGUUACCAAAUAAUCUGAUAAUAGGAGAUGGACAUUUGUAUAAAUAUACAUGGUAGAAGAUCAGUGUUUUCAUUUUUGUCGAGCCUGUCACUUUUGUUGCAGAAAGCUCGACAUAGGGAUAGUGCUAAGUGGCGACUGAAGAUUAUGUGAUAUUAGUAUGUAGAGAGAAGUUCAGAACAAGAUAUUGUUUGAAGAGGAAUCACAGGGGAAAAGAGCUCAACUUUUAAUGAAUCUUCUUAGUACAGCACUGAAUCAUGAGACAAUAAUUCAUAGUUGAUUGUUAUUACAAAGAGUGGAUGUAUCUGACUAGCAUUUGUAUAACAUGUAUCAUGAAGACUUACAAGGCAACAAAUCAGAUGUUACAAACACAUGUGUGUGCAUUUAAAGACAUGAAUAUAUGUAAAUGUUACUUUCUUCUUGUGAUUUGAAGAGAAUUUGUUUUAGAUACUAACUGUGUAUGAAUUGAUGGUUGUUUUAAUACUAUUUAUAAAUACAUGAUUGUAACCCUUAAUCAA